This 253-nucleotide ribosomal RNA is filed under the name uncultured bacterium. Its description in RNAcentral is "partial 16S ribosomal RNA". It matches the Rfam family "Bacterial small subunit ribosomal RNA", at positions 524 to 776 of the family's 1533-position model. The record is from RNAcentral.
UACGUAGGGUGCGAGCGUUAAUCGGAAUUACUGGGCGUAAAGCGUGCGCAGGCGGUUCGUUAAGUCAGAUGUGAAAGCCCCGGGCUCAACCUGGGAACUGCAUUUGAAACUGGCGGGCUUGAGUAUGGCAGAGGGGGGUGGAAUUCCGCGUGUAGCAGUGAAAUGCGUAGAGAUGUGGAGGAACACCGAUGGCGAAGGCAGCCCCCUGGGCCGACACUGACGCUCAGGCACGAAAGCGUGGGGAGCAAACAGG